ACUCAAAUGAAUUGACGGGGGCCCGCACAAGCGGUGGAGCAUGUGGUUUAAUUCGAUGCAACGCGAAGAACCUUACCUGGUCUUGACAUCCACGGAAGAAUCCAGAGAUGGAUUUGUGCCUUCGGGAACCGUGAGACAGGUGCUGCAUGGCUGUCGUCAGCUCGUGUUGUGAAAUGUUGGGUUAAGUCCCGCAACGAGCGCAACCCUUAUCCUUUGUUGCCAGCGGUCCGGCCGGGAACUCAAAGGAGACUGCCAGUGAUAAACUGGAGGAAGGUGGGGAUGACGUCAAGUCAUCAUGGCCCUUACGACCAGGGCUACACACGUGCUACAAUGGCGCAUACAAAGAGAAGCGACCUCGCGAGAGCAAGCGGACCUCAUAAAGUGCGUCGUAGUCCGGAUUGGAGUCUGCAACUCGACUCCAUGAAGUCGGAAUCGCUAGUAAUCGUGGAUCAGAAUGCCACGGUGAAUACGUUCCCGGGCCUUGUACACACCGCCCGUCACACCAUGGGAGUGGGUUGCAAAAGAAGUAGGUAGCUUAACCUUCGGGAGGGCGCUUACCACUUUGUGAUUCAUGACUGGGGUGAAGUCGUAACAAGGUAACCGUAGGGGAACCUGCGGUUGGAUCACCUCCUUACCUUAAAGAAGC
RNAcentral lists this ribosomal RNA (646 nucleotides) under Salmonella enterica subsp. enterica. RNAcentral describes it as "bacterial SSU rRNA". It matches the Rfam family "Bacterial small subunit ribosomal RNA", at positions 899 to 1533 of the family's 1533-position model. The record is from RNAcentral. Lineage: Bacteria; Pseudomonadati; Pseudomonadota; Gammaproteobacteria; Enterobacterales; Enterobacteriaceae.